CGCAGUGUUUGGCCUGAUGCGCCCAGGAGGGAGGGUAACAAGGAAGGUUGCCUGCCAAGUGCGCCAGAAGCCGUUGCCACGUCGAGGGAUCGAGGCGGGGUAGUUCAACAGAACCCUUGCCUUGAGACUGACGCUCGGUGGAUUACGCUAGAAUACGAGGCGAGACUCAAACCGAUUACCCAUCCCGGGCGAGAGAGAGCCGACGUCAGCGCAGAGCAGGCAGUGAGUGCACGAGCGGAGGAGGAACACAAUGCCGACUUGCGUUUCACUCACCAUCUACCACAUCUAUGCUGAGGAAAUGGAGCGACGAGCCCGCCUCCAAGAAAGGGAAAAUGAAAACCUGGGGAACAUGAACGACCGCCUCUUGGAGCAGAUUCGAGACCUAAGACAACACCUCGAGGGACAAGAAGAGCUACGUCAGCGCCGCAUGAGGCGCAGGGUUGGCUUGCGUGGGGGUGUGUAUAGAGUCAUCACAGACUGAGAGAAGUCAUC
RNAcentral lists this long non-coding RNA (492 nucleotides) under Penaeus japonicus. Its description in RNAcentral is "uncharacterized LOC122262291". Lineage: Eukaryota; Metazoa; Arthropoda; Malacostraca; Decapoda; Penaeidae. The record is from RNAcentral.